Oncorhynchus tshawytscha (Chinook salmon) is the source of this 1055-nucleotide long non-coding RNA. The record is from Ensembl. Lineage: Eukaryota; Metazoa; Chordata; Actinopteri; Salmoniformes; Salmonidae.
GACAAUCCAAUCGUUGAUGUCUUUGUUUUGCACAAAGACAUUGUCCAGGGGGGAAAGUAGAUGUAAUUUCGUACUGGAACUGAACACCCAAGUGCGCGCGCACACUUUUUUUUAUACUACAAAAAUGACAGGGUAGCCAACUCUGCUGACACUGACGACAGAUCAAUAAAAACUAUGCUGUCUGAUCCAUAUAAUCAGCCUGCGAAAAGAGGAAACACAAAUACAAUAUGACUACCAUCUAACCUGGAGGAGAAACGAUUGUCCAAAAACACAGAAAAGGGGCACUGACCCAGUGAAUAUGCACCGGGGAUAUGGCUGAUGUUCUCCCGCUGGUGCUAAUAAGAUAUGCCACUGUUCCCUCAAGACUAUUCAAGCGAUCGACUCACUGAUGCAUGAAGAUGAUGAGCUAUCAGCAAAGGCCAUCUGGAGUCCCAAGCAUCCCCUCAAACGUCAUGCGGGGGUGCCAACUUCUUGCCAGGGACCAGGCACAUAUUUGAGUUUUGAUGACAAUGACCCAAAACACACUGCCACCCGGGUUUGCAUUGCAAAUGAGGGCAUAAACUGGGUCAAGACUCCGCAGACUCCUCUCCAGCCUGCAACAGGCUUCUGUUGAGACCUCACCUUUCUCCAGGACCCCCUCUGCUACAGCCUCUGUGAAGACCACCACUGCCUCUGUUGUCUCUCAAGACACCGCCAGCUCUUCUACAGACUCUGAGACCUGAUUGGUGUUGACUGGCUGCUCAGGUAGACUGGGAAGGCCAUACAGGACAAUGACUGACUCGGAGGAGACUGAUUUUGAAGGCUAUGCAUUAUAACCCACAGUUGGUAGUCCUCUGGAUGACUUCAUCACCACCACAGCUGACUUCUCUGAUGCCAUAUUGAGGACAUCUGAAAAUAAAUGUGGUCCUGCUUUGUGACAUUUCAGGAAGGCUCCAUGUUAUACCGAUCGCACUACAUGUUUUUUUUGUGUGUAGAUAUGGUUAUCCUUGUUUGAUAGAGCCAUUGGAGGUCUUUCAGCGAUUUUCGUUAAUUGCUAAAAGUCUCUGAAACUCGAG